CGUCACGUGUUUCUCUCCUUGGAGUGAGACUGAGUCUCGGUGGCGGCUGGAGGGGGCCGGACUCAUAAACACAGACACCGCCGCUUGUUUGGGUUUGGGGCGCUCCGAAACUCCGAGAAGCAGCCGGAGGAGGAGAAGUCAGCCAGGCAGCCCCAGACCCGCCUUCAGCCUGGGGCAGGGGAGGGGGCUUUGCUGUUGCCCUCGGCGCCUUUCCCGACUGGAAUGAGGAGGAGGAGGAAGAGAGGAUGUUCCUUCCCCACUUGGGCUGCUUCCCCUCCUGCUGCUGCCUGGUUGCAUUUUGUGUUGAAAUGGCACUUUCUCUUCCUAACGAGAUGGGACUGAAUGGGGUCGCCAGCCUCCUCACGCAUAAGCAGAAGCAGCAGCCUCGGCGCUGAUUUUUGGGCUGGGCUGUGUUUUUAGGGGGGGAGAAGAGGCGUGUGUUUUGGGGUGUAAGCCCCGGACUUUGCAAAACAAACCGCUACCCAGAGGAUCUUUAAUCUGUUACAGAGAUUGCGCUCGCUGAGGCGAAGUUGUGAAGGGGAGGGUGUUUUGGAGCAAAGCAAGGGGGACCCCCCUUCCUGCUCCUCUCUACAGAGGAAUCCGACCCAUACGACUGAAAGAUGCGUUUCUUUUCCUCCCCGGCGGCGGCUGCUGGGAGAGCUAGACUUUCAUCUGGACUGACUGAGACUGGACUCUUUAAGGAUAUAUUGACCCUCCUGAGGGUGAUUUGGGCAUAAACAGCAAUAUAAACGCUGCUGUGGUGCUGGAAGCUGCCUCUGCCACUGAACAGCUGCUCUCACCCUGCCAGUAUCCCCUCCCCCCACCCCGUUUUGGAGAGGGGAUUCCGAGCUAGUUUGCUUUUUUAUUAUGAUUGUUGUUGCAUGAAUUGUAUUUUAAGAGGUGGGGUUUUUUUUCUGCCUUGUUUGGCAGUUUUGGGGGCCUGUGGGCUGAUAGCUGCAGUAAAAACACCACCACCUCUCCUUCCACUAUGGCUAGCCCCACGGAUAAUAAUGAGGGCUUCUUCUCAGAUGUCAGGAAGGUGGGUUACUUGCGCAAACCCAAGAGCAUGCAUAAACGCUUCUUCGUGCUGAGGGCAGCCAGCGAGUCAGGACCUGCCCGGCUGGAGUACUAUGAGAAUGAGAAGAAAUGGAGACAUAAGUCAGGAGCCCCCAAGCGUUCCAUCCCACUGGAGAGCUGCUUCAACAUCAACAAACGGGCAGACUCCAAGAACAAGCACCUGGUGGCCCUCUAUACCAAGGACGAGCACUUUGCCAUUGCAGCUGACAGCGAGCCUGAGCAGGAGAGCUGGUACCAAGCCUUGCUGCAGUUGCACAAUCGGGCCAAGGGCCACCACCACCUCCAUCAUCAUCGUCACCACCACCACCACAGUGAUGUCUCCUUUGGGGGUGGCAGUGCAGGGCUGGGGGAGACAGGUGACGAUAGCUAUGGCGAGGUGGUGCCUGGUCCAGCUUUCAAGGAGGUUUGGCAAGUGAUCCUGAAACCUAAAGGUCUGGGCCAGACCAAGAACUUGAUCGGCAUCUACCGCCUGUGCCUGACCAACAAAACCAUCAGCUUUGUGAAGCUGAACUCAGAUGCAGCUGCUGUGGUACUGCAGCUGCUCAACAUCCGCCGCUGUGGCCACUCAGAGAACUUCUUUUUCAUAGAGGUUGGGCGUUCAGCGGUGACUGGGCCUGGUGAGUUCUGGAUGCAGGUGGAUGAUUCAGUGGUGGCACAGAACAUGCAUGAGACCAUCUUGGAAGCCAUGCGGGCCAUGAGUGAGGAAUUCCGGCCCCGCAGCAAGAGCCAGUCCUCUUCCAACUGCUCCAAUCCCAUCUCUGUGCCCCUCCGCAGCAGACACCAUGUCAACAACCCCCCACCCAGCCAGGUGGGGCUCAGUCGCAGGUCCAGGACUGAGAGUGUGACUGCUACCUCCCCUGCUGGGGGUGGUGGUGGUGGAGGAGGAACAGGGGGCAAACCCAGCUCUUUCCGAGUCCGAGCCUCUAGUGAUGGGGAAGGAACUAUGUCCAGGCCUGCCUCUGUGGAUGGCAGCCCAGUAAGUCCCAGUGCCAACCGGACCCACUCACAUCGGCACCGUGGCAACUCCAGGCUUCACCCUCCACUCAACCACAGUCGCUCCAUCCCAAUGCCUUCUUCACGCUGUUCCCCUUCAGCCACCAGUCCAGUCAGCCUGUCAUCUAGCAGCACCAGUGGCCAUGGCUCCACCUCAGACUGCCUCUUCCCACGCAGGUCCAGUGCUUCGGUAUCAGGCUCCCCCAGUGAUGGUGGUUUCAUCUCCUCCGACGAAUAUGGCUCUAGCCCCUGCGAUUUCCGCAGCUCUUUUCGCAGUGUGACUCCAGACUCUCUGGGUCACACCCCGCCAGCACGGGGGGAUGAGGAGCUCAACAACUACAUUUGUAUGGGGGGCAAGGCUGCCUCGUCCUGCAGCUUGGCAGCUCCCAAUGGCCACUUCAUCCCUCGCAGUUGCCACCCACAGCAUCAGCAGUGCCGCUAUCCUGGCACCCCAUGCUGCCCCCGGAGUGGUGGAGAGGAGGUAACUGACCUGGAGAAGGGCUUCAGGAAGCGGACUCACUCUGCAGGCACCUCACCCACCAUCUCCCACCAGAAGACACCCUCACAGUCUUCAGUGGCCUCUAUUGAGGAGUACACGGAAAUGCUACCUUCCUAUCCUUGUGGUGGCAACCGGCUGCCCUCCUACCGGCACUCUGCCUUUGUGCCCACUCACUCCUAUCCUGAGGAGCAUUUGGAGAUGCACCACUUGGAGGGCAGCCACCACCGGACCAACUCCACCCCACACACUGAUGAUGGCUACAUGCCAAUGUCGCCUGGGGUGGCCCCUGUGCCCAGCAGUGGUGGCACACCCAAAGGUGGUGACUAUAUGCCCAUGAGCCCCAAGAGCGUGUCAGCCCCACAGCAGAUCAUCAACCCUGGCAGGGGGGGUCGCCACGCCCAAGCCAUGGUGGACUCCAAUGGGUACAUGAUGAUGUCCCCUAGCGGCAGCUGUUCGCCUGACGCUGGUCCUGCCGGCUACGGCAAAAUGUGGACUAAUGGGGCUGGCCACCACCCAAAGCUCUCAGUAGAGAGCAGCGAAGGGAAGCUCCCCUGCAGCGGCAGUGACUACAUCAACAUGUCCCCAGCCAGCGGCUCCGCCACCAGCACCCCCCCGGACUGCUACUUCGCCACCUCGGAGCCGCCGGGCCCGGAGGAGGCCUCGGCGCAGGGCCCGGCCGAGCCCCCCCACAAGCCCAUCUACUCCUACUUCUCCCUGCCGCGCUCCUUCAAACACGUGCAGCGCCGGGCAGCCGAGGAGAGCGGCCCCCAGCUACGCAUCUCCCUCAGCUCCGGCCGCUUGCUCUACGCCGCGGAGGACUCGUCCUCUUCCACCAGCAGCGACAGCCUCGGGGGAGGCGGGGGCCAAGAGGGCGCCGGAGGUCCCUACCAGGCGCAGCCCCCGCCGCAGCAGCCUACCCGUCAGGCGGCCGCGCAGAGCAGGAGCCGCCUGACCAGACCCACCCGCUUGUCCCUGGACGGCCCCAAGGCCAGCACUCUGCCGCGGGCGCGGGAGCAGCCCCCGCUGCUGCUGCCGCCGGAGCCCAAGAGCCCCGGCGAGUACGUGAACAUUGAGUUCGUGGCCAGUGACAAGCCGGCUUUCCCGUCGGCCGCGCGGCCCCGAGGGGACGAAGGCUCCGAGUACAUGAACAUGGAGCUGGGGCCGCCGCGGGCUGCCUGCCAAGCCGGCUUCGCAGCCGUACGGGCGGCAGCUGCGGCCCGGCCAGGCCGAGGAGCUGCUGCCCUCAGCAGCCGGGACUAUGUGACUAUGGAACAGGGGGGCGGUGUCGGGGGGCCCUGCCCGGGCUGCGCCGACCCCCCGUCCCCCGCGCUCUUGCUCAACUACGCCGACAUGCGGACGGGCCGUGCCGUUCCGGAGAACCCCCCUGCUGCCCCUGCCUCCGCCCAGGCGCAGCCGCCGGCCGAGCUGGCAGCGGCGCCACCGCGCUCCUCCUCCCUGAUGGGAGGCCCGGGGGUGAACAGCGCCUUCACCCGCGUCAGCCUCAGCCCCAGCCCCGGCCGCAAUCAGAGCGCCAAAGUGAUCCGCGCCGACCCGCAGGGGGGCCGCCGGCGGCACAGCUCCGAGACCUUCUCCUCCACCCCCAGCAACGCCCGCGGCACGGCGGGCAGCGGCGGCCUCAACGCGCCCUUGCUCUACGGGGCGGGGGGCGCCGAGGAGGUGAAACGCCACAGCUCGGCCUCCUUCGAGAACGUCUGGCUCCGGCCUGCCUCCGGGGAGCUGGGGGCGGCCGCCAGGAGGGAGCAGCAGCCCCUCGGGGCCGGGGGUGGCUUUGAGAACGGACUCAACUACAUCGACCUGGACUUAGUGAAGGAUUUUAAUCAGCGUCGCCAAUACCCCCACCACCCCCAGGAGGGCACCUCUGUGCUGGGGGGGAGGCAGCCGCCGCCGCCGCCCAAAGCCCCUAAUCAGCCUUGUGGGAGUAGCCACUCUAGCGACGAUUUGAGUGCAUAUGCCAGCAUCAGCUUCCAGAGGCGGGAGGACGUCUAAUAGCUGGGCAAGAGCCAGAGCCAGAGAGAAGGCCAGCCCGAAGACUCUGUGCUGAGUUUGUGUUCCUUCCAGCUCCCUCGGAGUGGGUGGAUCAGUGCAGCCCAGCCCAGCCUGCCAUUUACUACAUCAUCUUCUGGCUUUCCUCAGCUGCACAGCAGAACAGUCUAGCUCAGCCUGCCAGCCUGCCUGUGCCAGUACACCUCCUGCGUUCAUUCCAGCUCCCUCAGAGUGUUUGAGUGUCCUCCUCCAGCCUGCCGUUUCACUCCCCUUCCGCUGGCUUCUCUCGGUAAUUCAGCAUAGGGGUCUAUCCCCUAACGCCAGCCUUUCUGCCAUCCAGAUAGUGGGGUCCUGCAGGAACAGGUUGGACUCCCCCAAUUGUAUUCCAUCUCCCAUGAUGCACUACAGCCAUAGGAUUGCCAUGAUGCACUGCCUCCCCUCUUAAAGAGUAAAGACCGUGGGUGGUGUGAAAGCGAAGAGGAGAGUCGUCACGUUUGCAGCAGGUUGGAAACCGUUUUCUAGCUCCAUCUCCCAGAGAGCCAUUACUAUUGUAAGGAUUCUACAAAAAGAGGAAUUUUGUUUGUUCCAAGAGGUCAUCUGCUUCUUCUCCUUAUUCCUCAUCUGAAAUGAAUGAUGUCAGAAUCCAGAGAUGUAAGAUGAAUUUUCCUAGCCAAUUUCCAAUCUGAAAGGCUCCAAAAUAGAACAGCAAUAUUUGACUCCAUCUAAACUCCAUUCCACAGCUUACUAUCAGCCAUGGGAAUUUACAAGCAUUCCAAAGAGGCUGAGGAAAUCCAGGAAACCACAAUGACAGCUCUACUUGAAAAAGACCAUUAUAUGAUAGUGACUUGAGAGAGAAAAUACAGCAUAUUUUACCUCAUUCAUGAAAGAUUAGAAAUAUCACUUAUAUUAAACUGUUUGGUUUAAUAAAUGAUUUGGUUUUAAUUAGAGCUGGCCAGGAAUUUUUUGAUAGAAUGUUUUUUGUUGGAAAAUGACAGUUUGUUGAAACCAAAACUUUGUGCAGGAAUGUAGCAGGUUCAACAACGUUUUCAAGAGAGGUUUCUGAGGUACAAGAUGGAAUAUGUAGUCCCAGAGGGAGAGAGACAGACAGACAGAUACCAGAACAGCUGGGACUUGGGAGGCCUGUGUUCAAGACCUUGAUCCAAAUCAACUACAGUGGGGAUUCAAACCUGGGUCUUACACAUUGCAGGUGAGUUUCCUAAUACAAGGCUAUUCUGGGGCCCCUCUCUGUGUGGGGGGAAAACUUCAGAAGGUCUGUUUUGUUCCAAAGUGCAACAGAAAAUUUUUUGAAAUCUUAAAAAUUUUUGUGGGACAGGAGAACCAUUUCCCUACUAGCUCUAGUUAUAAUGCUUUGCGGGGAGACAUUUCUUUGCAUCAACUGGGAUUUUCCAUAUAAAGGUCAUAGUGAUUGACUUCUUGGAGAUAUGGCUACGUUCUUACUUAUGUCUUGCUGUAUCAUGUGCAAACUUUUUUUGAAAUGUACCUUUUGUUCUCUUUAAGUAAUUUACACAUUAUAGGCAAGAAGCCUCCUCAGAGAAAUUACUGGUUAUUUUCCCAUCCAUAUGUUUAACAAUGAGCUUGGUGUGAUGCUGUGUAUAAGAAAGAUGAUCAUUUGUAUCAUUGUUUCUACCACUGUUAUACAAUUGCAACAAAUCUUGUACAACGUAUGUCAUGUAAGGUGUCAAUGGAAAAGUUCGGAUUUACUAAGUAUGAUUAUUCUGUUUAUAUGCAUGUAUCAUCUUUGUAUGUGAAGUUAUGAAUAUUGGCUAUGGACUUGUAUCUUAAACAUGUGUUGUAUUCCUGGGUGACACCCCUCAGCAGAAUUUACAUCAGGGCUAGACAGCGAUGUGUUGAUGGCCCAUCAAGGACACUCCACUCUCAGAAUGGGUCAUUGAAGAAACUCAUGCUGCCCAGUAGGUCUUUCUGCAGUUGCCUCAGACAGCGAGGAGCCAAUGGCCAUCCCCUGUGAUUCAGCAAAACAUGUAGGGGUAUGUGAUAUGCUCAUGUGAUCCCGGACUCCAUCUUGGCCAGAAACUUUCCACAGAAAGGGGCUGUGGGCUUUGUUUGGAACAGUAAAUUUCCAUGCACAUGACAGAGGGUAUAAAAAGACACCCAAGACACCUCCACAUUGCCUCUUUCCUGCUCUAAUUCUCUGGAUUGUGGAUUUACAACUAAAAGGAGCACCUUGAACUAUGGACUGAGCACCUUCCAAUCUUUUGGAACUUGCCAGAGAGACUUUAAAAGCCAGCAGUCUAUUUCACCACUGCGACAUUAAAUCAUUUGUAUGUAUGUGAUCUAUUAACCAUUUAUAACUCUCUUCUUUUCUUUUAUUAUUGAAUCUUUAGUUAGUUUACUAAGGAUUGUCUGACAUUGUGAUAUUUGGAUAAAGUCUGAGAUUCAUAUUGACAGAAAGAAUCUCGCUUAUGGUGAAAUGGGUUUUCAAUAACCUCUCACUAUAUUAGAUUGGGUUGCCUGGAUGGGAGCCAAGGGCUGGAAUGCCUAAAGGGGAAUGUGUUUGGCUUCUGGUUAACCAGUGUGGUACUGCAGAUGCUCUUUUGUUACUGAUUUGGUGAAUCUAAUUAUAAAGUAAACCACCAGAUUUGGGGAUUGUCUGCCCGGAGUGUGGCAUUAUCAGUGUGGUCUAUCACAGGCACCCAGUCACACCUGGUGUAAGAGCUUUGGCUGGAUAAGCACCCAAACAUUCUGAUUUUUUUUUUAAAUCUUGUCAGAUCUGGACAUUUCUCCCUCUGUAUUGGACAGAAAUACAAUGGAAAAAAGCCUCUCUUGAAGUAUCUUGGUUGCUUUCAGCAAGAACCAGAAAGUCCAGAGGCACACAAAAAUGAAGUAAAAAAGGUUAAGCAAAUCUUUGCAGAUCUUAAACCUACCAACCAAAUCAAACAUCCCACCAACAACAAAUCACCACAACACAAAUUUGGUUUGAGUUUUUGGGGUAAAGGUUUGGCUCUUUCUUUUAAGAGUUUAAAAUUUAUUGUUCCAAUUUUUGAAAUAAAUUUCUUUUGUGAGAAGUUAAUGUUUCCUUUUGUAGGGUGAGUUUAGAUCGGAAACCUCAAGGUCACCGCUCAGAUAAUUUUGAGGAAACGUAUAGCUGGUAUUUUCCAAGCUGCAUAGGUGGAUUUAUCCCCACAACUUCCAUCAGUUUGAGUGGGAACAUCCAGGUAAAUUCACGUUGUCAUGUUUGAAAACCUCAGUGUUCUCUGCCUAUAACAUCCAUAGUACUUGUCUCCAUACCAGUCACUAACUGAGGAAUUUUCAACCAGUUGAUUAAGUUGUGGUUCUACUCUGAAACAUUGUUAAGAUAAAAGAUGCCUCCACCCAAUGGAUCUGCUUUUUGUAUGUAUCUACUUCUUGAUAUUAGUGACAAAGAGGUGUUAGUUCUUCAUUAAUCCCAUUUAACACUUUAAAUGGGAAAGGAAUCUGUAUUCUAUUCUGUUUUGUGAAUCUUCAACAGAAUUGUUUGCUAAGUUCCAAUCAGUCACACAUGCACAGCCAGAGGUUGCACAGGUGUUACCGAGGGCAUACCUUAAAGAUGCACAGAUAUAACUGCUGUUGUGAUUUGCCCUACAAAACCUUCAUUACUAGUUAUGAUAUAUGAGGAGGAAAGAGCCAUCUUGAUUCUCAGGUCCCUGGUUGUUUCCAAGGCUAGCAAAAGGAGGCUUAGGGCAUUUGAUAUGGAAAUCAAUUUGAGACCAUAAAUGUGGAACCCCAUGUGUAACAUUAUUGGGCUUCACCAGACUCCAGUACUGUUGCAGGUGGUGUAAGUGGCUCUUCGUAGCUGAAUGCAUAGCCAGUUAGACUGUGGGGAAAAUGACUUUUGCCAUUGAUGCUGUAGUUGCUUUUAGGUGCUUUGCUGCUGAGCCUAUCACCAGUAAAAGCUUUGUCUUAGCUUGAAUCUUUCUACUUUACUCUCUCUCACACUCAUUGGGCUAUUUCUUAAGCAUGGAGCUGCUGCCACAGAAGCAAACAAAAUAUUACAUGGUGCCAAAGCAUUAUGAAUGAUGCCAUGUUACAGGAUCAUUUUUCAGAGCAGAGCUGCACCUUAAGCAAGAUUUUGGUCCAAAUAAGUUGAUAUGGGCUGGCUUGAAUCAAAUUGCAUGCUGUUUUUUUCCUAUGCGUUGCUUGCUAAAUUCCACAUUCAUCCCCAAAUGCUGUUAAUCUAAGUGGGCUGUGUUGUUUAGUAUAAUACAGUACUUUUUCUCUCCCUUUUUAAAAACUAUUGUGUUUGAUUUGCCAGGCUACCAUCCUCAGGAAUCUUACAUCUCACUAGAGAAUGCCCACAGUUAGCAACUGAUUUUGAUACUUUCCAUCUUCAUUUCUUUUAAACUGAUGGAGUUACCUGGACCUGGACCUUUGCCUGCCCUGAAAUCUGCAGUUUUUAAAUAAUGCUACCCAGAGUGACCGUCCCUGUUUAAUUUCUUCAUUUUGUGGGCAUUUGGCAAUGAGUGAUUUUUCUAGUUUUGCUCCAGGGAACCUGUCCCAGAACAAAAUGUUAUGCAGGUACAACUGUAAACAAAACUGAAAUGGCUAGGCCAUGCAGUAGCAAUUCAAGAUCAUUUGCCAUCCUCUUGUAAUUCAGGAAAGUGUCAGCUAAGGUCAGGACUCUUCUGGGAAAAUUAGACGGAUGGUAAAUGUAUUACCAGCCGACUAUCAAACUCCACAUACCAUGAAAUAUCCCUGACUUAGGCAACCCUUCCCUUCCUGUAAUGACAGAAGGAAAGCAACUGUUUAAGAAAUCUGUCACUUUCUUAUCCUGUCUCCAAUUCCCCAAUACCAAUUUUAGUGAACCAAGUUUCUCCAUUACAUUCUGUGUGUUUGUGGGCAUAUUUGUAAAGCUCUUUAUUAAUAGAUGAAAUAAUAUCUGCAAUUUAACAUUUGGUGCUUCCCCAACCCCCGUGGGGGAAUAAGGGGGUACAAUUAUUUAAUGAUCUUUUAAACAUUUUUUUCGUAACACUGCCCCACUUCUUAUCAGAUUUUUGGCCAGUUUCUGUUCUCUGUUACGCUGAUAUAAACCAGAACUAGUACCCCUGACUUCUUUUUUGGCUGCUUGUUGUAUGUUUCACAAGGACGUGGAGAAUCAAAGCCUUUGCACCAAUGGAACUGUUCAUGGAAAGAAAGAUUUCAGGAUAGGGUCCAUAAAUGGCCUGGUGUACCCAGAGAAACUUCUGUCCAUCUACAGCAUCUCCAAGAUGCUUCUUAUCUUGGCAGCUAAGAGCUGACUUGAAUUGAAUUGGACUUGAUGACUUGAACUUGAGCACUGACCUGUAUCCUCAGUUUGAGGUAAAGAUUUUUGAGUUUCUGAUUUUGAUACUGGUCUUCAGUGGGACUAAGCACCCACAUCCCCUAUUGAUUUUGAUGAAAAGUGAUGCUGGUCGGCACCUUUUAGGGUUAGGCCCUUUGUCUGUUUCUUAUUUUAUUUUACUGUUUCUGUAAAUAUAUGUGUGUAUAUAUAUAUAUCGUCAAUAUAUGUUCCACUCUAUAUGCAUCCGAAGAAGUGGGCUGUAGUCCACGAAAGCUUAUGCUCUAAUAAAUUUGUUAGUCUCUAAGGUG
Molecule: RNA transcript, 10156 nt
Organism: Malaclemys terrapin pileata
Lineage: Eukaryota; Metazoa; Chordata; Testudines; Emydidae
Gene: IRS1
Gene name: insulin receptor substrate 1
Exons: 5
Source: RefSeq, a predicted model, not a curated record